Long non-coding RNA from Rosa chinensis, 469 nucleotides. RefSeq lists it as uncharacterized. The record is from RefSeq and is a predicted model, not a curated record. The transcript has 2 exons. NCBI's taxonomy places the organism in Eukaryota, Viridiplantae, Streptophyta, Magnoliopsida, Rosales, Rosaceae.
GCUCAUAUUAUCUGUCCAGAAAAGUCCUACUGCUCUUGGCUUUACACUAUGCAAUGAUUAACCAAGUAUUAGGCUAUUUGUUUUUCUUUGGAUAAGCUCUUUGUAUAGGCCAAGUUGUCAUGUGUUCAGCAUGACUAAUAUGAUCCUUUCUUAUUACUUGUCAUGUGUUCCACGCUUGAACUUUUAUAAGUGGUGGAAGAAUGGAGUAUCUGUAAUGAGAUAAUGUAUUUCCUUUUAUGUUGGGUGACUAAAUCUGCAGUUUUCUUGUCACAGGUUAAUAGGUCACUUGAAAUUUCCUGAUUACAUAUAAUCUUUAUCAUUAAGCUGCUUGAAGAUUUUGUGAGUUCAAAGAUAACUUGGAUGUAGUGCAGUCGUGAGGAAAUUGAUGUAGAUAGGAACUUACUAGGAAUUUUGUAUUUGGUAUCAUUCAAACAGUACUUUGGUCAAUAAUAUAUAAUUUUGGUUGGUA